Non-coding RNA from Caenorhabditis elegans, 21 nucleotides. Lineage: Eukaryota; Metazoa; Nematoda; Chromadorea; Rhabditida; Rhabditidae. The record is from Ensembl.
UUACAAAAUUUUGAAGGAUCG